AUGAUCAGCACUGAUCAGUUCUGGGUGACACAUGCCAAACCAUUGAAAGAGAUCUUCUCCACUCUGUAUCCUGAAUCAGGUGCUGAGGAAGAGGUGGAGACCUUUGCCUUUCAGGCAGAAAUUGCCCACCUCAUGUCCCUCAUCAUCAAUACUUUCUAUUCAAACACGGAGCUUUUCCUCUGAGAGUUGAUCUCUAAUGCUUCAGAUGCCCUGGACAAGAUUCGGUAUGAGAACCUGACUGACCCUUCCAAGUGGGAGAGAGAUGAAAAGUGACAUCAUCCCCAGCCCUCAGGAGCACACACUGACUUUGGUGGACACCGGCAUUGGCGUGACCAAGGCUAAUCUCAUUAAUAAUUUGGGAACCAUUGCUAAGUCUGGCACAAAAGCAUUCAUGGAGGCUCUCAAAGCUGGUGCAGACAUCUCCAUGAUUGGUCAGUUUGGUGUUAGAUUCUACUCAGCCUAUCUAGUGGCAAAGAAAGUGGUUGUGAUCACACAGCACAAUGAUAAUGAGCAGUAUGUCAGGGAGUCUUCUGCUGGUGAAUCCUUCACCCCCCUUGCAGACCAUGGUGAGCCCAUUGGCCAGAAUACGAAAGUAAUCCUUCAUCUCAAAGAAAACCAGACAGAGUACUUAGAGGACAGGAGGGUCAAGGAAGUGGUGAAAAAACAUUCACAGUUCCUAGGCUAUCCCAUCACCCUCUAUUUGGAGAAGGAACGGGAGAUCAGUGAUGGUGAGGCAGAGGAAGAGAAAGGUGAGAAAGAGGAGGAAAAUAAGGAGGAUGAGGAGAAGCUUAAUAUUAAAGAUGUGGGAUCUGAUGAGGAAGAUGACAGCUGCAAAGACAAGAAAAAGAAAACAAGGAAGUUCAAGGAGAAGUACAUUGACCAGGAACACCUAUACAAGACAAAUCCUAUCUGGACCAGAAAUCCUGAUGACAUCACUCAAGAGGAGUAUGGUGAAUUCUAUAAGAACCUCACCAAUGAUUCGGAGGACCACUUGACAGUCAAGCACUUUUCUGUAGAAGGUCAGUUGGACUUCAGGGCAUUGCUCUUCUUUCCCCAGCAAGCUCCCUUUGACCUUUUUGAGAACAACAAAAAGAAGAAAAACAUCAAAAUGUAUGUCCAUCAUGUGUUCAUCAUGGACAGCUGUGAUGAGCUGAUACCUGAGUACCUCAACUUUAAAACAACUUCCAACCCAAAUGAAGUUGUGGUUCCUGGAGAUCUCUUUGGGGGCUUUGCAUUCUGGGCACAGGAAGACAAGGGGAUGAGUCCUAAUAAUGUUUCUAAGAAUUAG
This is a non-coding RNA of Mus caroli (Ryukyu mouse), 1288 nucleotides long. Lineage: Eukaryota; Metazoa; Chordata; Mammalia; Rodentia; Muridae. The record is from RefSeq and is a predicted model, not a curated record.